CACCCCUGACAGUGGGCAAAGAGACAUCUUGUUGGUGGUGUUCUUAUAUCAGUCAAGGGCAGAACAGAUGGCAGUCCUUUGUUCAACCUAGCUUGAUGCCUGGCUUGGUGGCUGUACUGGCUGGUUUUGUGUGCCAACUU
Mastomys coucha (southern multimammate mouse) is the source of this 140-nucleotide small nucleolar RNA. RefSeq annotates it as small nucleolar RNA SNORA48. NCBI's taxonomy places the organism in Eukaryota, Metazoa, Chordata, Mammalia, Rodentia, Muridae. The record is from RefSeq and is a predicted model, not a curated record. The transcript has a single exon.